This 451-nucleotide ribosomal RNA is filed under the name Escherichia coli. Its description in RNAcentral is "partial 23S ribosomal RNA". It matches the Rfam family "Bacterial large subunit ribosomal RNA", at positions 2469 to 2925 of the family's 2925-position model. Lineage: Bacteria; Pseudomonadati; Pseudomonadota; Gammaproteobacteria; Enterobacterales; Enterobacteriaceae. The record is from RNAcentral.
CGGGGAUAACAGGCUGAUGACUCCCAAGCGUCCAUAGCGACGGAGUUGUUUGGCACCUCGAUGUCGACUCAUCGCAUCCUGGGGCUGGAGCAGGUCCCAAGGGUAUGGCUGUUCGCCAUUUAAAGCGGUACGUGAGUUGGGUUCAGAACGUCGUGAGACAGUUCGGUCCCUAUCUGCCGUGGGUGUAGGAAUAUUGAGAGGAUCUGUCCCUAGUACGAGAGGACCGGGAUGGACGUAUCUCUGGUGGACCUGUUGUGGCGCCAGCCGCAUAGCAGGGUAGCUAUAUACGGAACGGAUAACCGCUGAAGGCAUCUAAGCGGGAAACCGACCUCAAAACGAGUAUUCCCUGAGAGCCGUGGUAGACGACCACGUUGAUAGGCCGGGUGUGGAAGAGCGGCAACGCUUGAAGCUUACCGGUACUAAUAACUCGAUUGGCUUGAUUGUUCUCAUU